UUUGAAUGGGGGAAACCUGNAUCCUUCGAUGCCGCGUGUGUGAAGAAGGCCUUCGGGUUGUAAAGCACUUUUGUUCGGGAAGAAAUCCGUCGGGCUAAUANCCCUGGCGGGAUGACGAUGCCGGAAGAAUAAGCACCGGCUAACUACGUGCCAGCAGCCGCGGUAAUACGUAGGGUGCGAGCGUUAAUCGGAAUUACUGGGCGUAAAGCGUGCGCAGGCGGUUUCGUAAGACAGAUGUGAAAUCCCCGGGCUUAACCUGGGAAUUGCAUUUGUGACUGCGAGACUAGAGUGUGUCAGAGGGAGGUGGAAUUCCGCGUGUAGCAGUGAAAUGCGUAGAGAUGCGGAGGAACACCGAUGGCGAAGGCAGCCUCCUGGGAUAACACUGACGCUCAUGCACGAAAGCGUGGGGAGCAAACAGGAUUAGAUACCCUGGUAGUCCACGCCCUAAACGAUGUCUACUGGUUGUCGGGGAUUCAUUUCCUUGGUAACGCAGCUAACGCGUGAAGUAGACCGCCUGGGGAGUACGGCCGCAAGGUUAAAACUCAAACGAAUUGACGGGGACCCGCACAAGCGGUGGAUGAUGUGGAUUAAUUCGAUGCAACGCGAAAAACCUUACCUACGCUUGACAUGCCAGGAACUUUCCAGAGAUGGAUUGGUGCCCGAAAGGGAGG
Molecule: ribosomal RNA, 671 nt
Filed under: uncultured bacterium
Lineage: Bacteria
Description: bacterial SSU rRNA
Rfam family: Bacterial small subunit ribosomal RNA
Source: RNAcentral